RNAcentral lists this ribosomal RNA (258 nucleotides) under uncultured bacterium. RNAcentral's name for it is "partial small subunit ribosomal RNA". It matches the Rfam family "Bacterial small subunit ribosomal RNA", at positions 26 to 285 of the family's 1533-position model. The record is from RNAcentral.
AGGACGAACGCUGGCGGCGUGCUUAACACAUGCAAGUCGAGCGGUGAUCCUCCUUCGGGAGGUGAUCAGCUGCGAACGGGUGAGUAACACGUGGGCAACCUGCCCCUCACACUGGGAUAAACCUCGGGAAACCGGGGCUAAUACCGGAUACGACCUCGAGCGGCAUCUCUUGAGGUGGAAAGCUCCGACGGUGAGGGAUGGGCCCGCGGCCUAUCAGCUUGUUGGUGGGGUAAUGGCCUACCAAGGCGACGACGGGUA